AGAGUUUGAUCCUGGCUCAGACGAACGCUGGCGGCGUGCCUAAUACAUGCAAGUCGAGCGGACAGAUGGGAGCUUGCUCCCUGAUGUUAGCGGCGGACGGGUGAGUAACACGUGGGUAACCUGCCUGUAAGACUGGGAUAACUCCGGGAAACCGGGGCUAAUACCGGAUGCUUGUUUGAACCGCAUGGUUCAAACAUAAAAGGUGGCUUCGGCUACCACUUACAGAUGGACCCGCGGCGCAUUAGCUAGUUGGUGAGGUAAUGGCUCACCAAGGCAACGAUGCGUAGCCGACCUGAGAGGGUGAUCGGCCACACUGGGACUGAGACACGGCCCAGACUCCUACGGGAGG
RNAcentral lists this ribosomal RNA (349 nucleotides) under uncultured bacterium. RNAcentral describes it as "bacterial SSU rRNA". It matches the Rfam family "Bacterial small subunit ribosomal RNA", at positions 8 to 348 of the family's 1533-position model. The record is from RNAcentral.